Molecule: ribosomal RNA, 496 nt
Filed under: uncultured bacterium
Lineage: Bacteria
Description: partial 16S ribosomal RNA
Rfam family: Bacterial small subunit ribosomal RNA
Source: RNAcentral
AUGCACGCUGGCGGCGUGCCUAAUACCUGCCAGUCGAGCGAACGGACGAGAAGCUUGCUUCUCUGAUGUUAGCGGCGGACGGGUGAGUAACACGUGGAUAACCUACCUAUAAGACUGGGAUAACUUCGGGAAACCGGAGCUAAUACCGGAUGAUAUUUUGAACCGCAUGGUUCAAAAGUGAAAGACGGUCUUGCUGUCACUUAUAGAUGGAUCCGCGCUGCAUUAGCUAGUUGGUAAGGUAACGGCUUACCAAGGCAACGAUGCAUAGCCGACCUGAGAGGGUGAUCGGCCACACUGGAACUGAGACACGGUCCAGACUCCUACGGGAGGCAGCAGUAGGGAAUCUUCCGCAAUGGGCGAAAGCCUGACGGAGCAACGCCGCGUGAGUGAUGAAGGUCUUCGGAUCGUAAAACUCUGUUAUUAGGGAAGAACAUAUGUGUAAGUAACUGUGCACAUCUUGACGGUACCUAAUCAGAAAGCCACGGCUAACUACGUG